AAUCAACGCUGGCGGCGUGCCUCAGACAUGCAAGUCGAACGCGAAAUUUCCCUUCGGGGAGAAAGUAGAGUGGCGCACGGGUGAGUAACACGUAGGUAAUUUGCCUUUGGGUGGGGAAUAACUCAGGGAAACUUGAGCUAAUACCGCAUAAUGCAGCGGCUCGACAUCGAGACAGUUGUUAAAGCGGGGGAUUGGAGCAAUCCGACCUCGCGCCUAAAGAGAAGCCUGCGGCAGAUUAGCUAGUUGGUAAGGUAAUGGCUUACCAAGGCGACGAUCUGUAACCGGCCUGAGAGGGCGGUCGGUCACACUGACACUGACAUACGGGUCAGACUCCUACGGGAGGCAGCAGUCGGGAAUUUUGGGCAAUGGGCGCAAGCCUGACCCAGCAACGCCGCGUGAAGGAUGAAAUUUUUCGGAAUGUAAACUUCGCAAGAACAGGAAGAAUAAGUGUGGGACAAUACCCACAUGAUGACGGUACUGUUUGUAAGCUCCGGCUAACUCCGU
Molecule: ribosomal RNA, 504 nt
Filed under: uncultured bacterium
Lineage: Bacteria
Description: bacterial SSU rRNA
Rfam family: Bacterial small subunit ribosomal RNA
Source: RNAcentral